Molecule: ribosomal RNA, 401 nt
Filed under: uncultured bacterium
Lineage: Bacteria
Description: bacterial SSU rRNA
Rfam family: Bacterial small subunit ribosomal RNA
Source: RNAcentral
AAUCAACGCUGGCGGCGUGCCUAACACAUGCAAGUCGAACGCGAGGACCUCGCAAGAGGUUAGUAGAGUGGCAAACGGGUGAGUAACACGUGGGUGACCUGCCUUAGAGUGGGGGAUAACGUCCCGAAAGGGACGCUAAUACCGCAUAACAUCCUGCCUUUGAAGAGGUGGAGAUCAAAGCUGGGGACCGCAAGGCCUAGCGCUUAAAGAGGGGCCCGCGUCUGAUUAGCUAGUUGGGGGGUAAUGGCUCACCAAGGCAACGAUCAGUAUCCGGCCUGAGAGGGCGGACGGACACACUGGGACUGAGACACGGCCCAGACUCCUACGGGAGGCAGCAGUGGGGAAUUGUUCGCAAUGGGCGCAAGCCUGACGACGCAACGCCGCGUGGAGGAUGAAGACCU